Molecule: ribosomal RNA, 522 nt
Filed under: uncultured bacterium
Lineage: Bacteria
Description: bacterial SSU rRNA
Rfam family: Bacterial small subunit ribosomal RNA
Source: RNAcentral
CUACGUGCCAGCAGCCGCGGUAAUACGGAGGGUGCGAGCGUUAAUCGGAAUAACUGGGCGUAAAGGGCACGCAGGCGGCUAUUUAAGUGAGGUGUGAAAUCCCCGGGCUUAACCUGGGAAUUGCAUUUCAGACUGGGUAGCUAGAGUACUUUAGGGAGGGGUAGAAUUCCACGUGUAGCGGUGAAAUGCGUAGAGAUGUGGAGGAAUACCGAAGGCGAAGGCAGCCCCUUGGGAAUGUACUGACGCUCAUGUGCGAAAGCGUGGGGAGCAAACAGGAUUAGAUACCCUGGUAGUCCACGCUGUAAACGCUGUCGAUUUGGGGAUUGGGCUUUAAGCUUGGUGCCCGUAGCUAACGUGAUAAAUCGACCGCCUGGGGAGUACGGCCGCAAGGUUAAAACUCAAAUGAAUUGACGGGGGCCCGCACAAGCGGUGGAGCAUGUGGUUUAAUUCGAUGCAACGCGAAGAACCUUACCUACUCUUGACAUCCAUGGAAUCUUGUAGAGAUACGGGAGUGCUUCGGGA